GAUGAAGAACGCAGCGAAAUGCGAUAAGUAAUGCGAAUUGCAGAAUUUCCGUGAGUCAUCGAAUCUUUGAACGCACAUUGCGCCCUUUGGUAUUCCGAAGGGCAUGCCUGUUCGAGCGUCAUUAUCACAGCUCAAACCCUGGGUUUGGUGUUGGACCGACGUUGGGUCGACCAACUGGUCUGAAAGACAAUGACGGCGUCCGUGGGACCCCUCAGUGCAACGAGCUUUCACAAGCACGCAUUGAGUUGCAAGGACCCUCCGGGCCGGUCUACUGUAACAUUUUCUAAAAGUUGACCUCGGAUCAGGUAGGAAUACCCGCUGAACUUAAGCAUAUCAAUAAGCGGAGGA
This 348-nucleotide unclassified non-coding RNA is filed under the name soil metagenome. RNAcentral's name for it is "partial contains 5.8S ribosomal RNA, internal transcribed spacer 2, and large subunit ribosomal RNA". The stretch from base 1 to 121 matches the Rfam family "5.8S ribosomal RNA", at positions 35 to 154 of the family's 154-position model. The record is from RNAcentral.